CCUACGGGAGGCAGCAGUGGGGAAUAUUGGACAAUGGGCGCAAGCCUGAUCCAGCAAUGCCGCGUGAGUGAUGAAGGCCUUAGGGUUGUAAAGCUCUUUUACCCGGGAUGAUAAUGACAGUACCGGGAGAAUAAGCUCCGGCUAACUUCGUGCCAGCAGCCGCGGUAAU
Molecule: ribosomal RNA, 169 nt
Filed under: uncultured bacterium
Lineage: Bacteria
Description: partial 16S ribosomal RNA
Rfam family: Bacterial small subunit ribosomal RNA
Source: RNAcentral